This 584-nucleotide ribosomal RNA is filed under the name uncultured bacterium. RNAcentral's name for it is "bacterial SSU rRNA". It matches the Rfam family "Bacterial small subunit ribosomal RNA", at positions 338 to 916 of the family's 1533-position model. The record is from RNAcentral.
CCUACGGGAGGCAGCAGUGGGGAAUUUUGGACAAUGGGCGCAAGCCUGAUCCAGCCAUUCCGCGUGAGUGAAGAAGGCCUUCGGGUUGUAAAGCUCUUUCGCAAGAGAAGAAAACUUACUUUCUAAUAAAGAGUGAGGUUGACGGUAUCUUGAUAAGAAGCACCGGCUAACUACGUGCCAGCAGCCGCGGUAAUACGUAGGGUGCGAGCGUUAAUCGGAAUUACUGGGCGUAAAGCGUGCGCAGGCUGUUUUGUAGGCCAGAUGUGAAAUCCCCGAGCUCAACUUGGGAACUGCGUUUGAAACUACAAGACUAGAAUAUGUCAGAGGGGGGUAGAAUUCCACGUGUAGCAGUGAAAUGCGUAGAGAUGUGGAGGAAUACCAAUGGCGAAGGCAGCCCCCUGGGAUAAUAUUGACGCUCAUGCACGAAAGCGUGGGGAGCAAACAGGAUUAGAUACCCUGGUAGUCCACGCCCUAAACGAUGUCUACUAGUUGUUGGUGGAGUAAAAUCCAUGAGUAACGCAGCUAACGCGUGAAGUAGACCGCCUGGGGAGUCGGUGCAAGNUUAAAACUUAAGGAAUUGACGG